AGAGUCAAAUAGUACGUGAAAUUGUUGAAAGGGAAACGAUUGAAGUCAGUCGUACCGGCGGAUAAUCAGCCUUUCGGAUGCGAUUCUGUGGAGCGUGAGGAGUUAACCGCCUUCAUGCCUGUUUAUUCGUAUACUUUGGGUGUACUUGUUCGUAUGGUAGGUUAACAUCAAUUUCGGAUGUCAUAAAAUGGCUGGGGGAAUGUAGCUUUGAUCUCGUAUUGAAGUGUUAUAGCCUUCGGUAGAUGUGAUGAUCGGGAUUGAGGAUUGCAACGAAUACCCUUCGGGGCUACUCGUCUGAUCUCUGAUUGUUGGUCUGGUGCUGAAAGCUUGCUUACGGUAUCAAAGUUGAUGGUCAAUAGGUUAGAACGGGUUAAAUUCGUUAAGGAUGUUGACGUAAUGACUUUAAACGACC
This 412-nucleotide ribosomal RNA is filed under the name Rhizophagus irregularis. RNAcentral's name for it is "partial large subunit ribosomal RNA". Lineage: Eukaryota; Fungi; Glomeromycota; Glomeromycetes; Glomerales; Glomeraceae. The record is from RNAcentral.